This is an RNA transcript of Centruroides sculpturatus (bark scorpion), 768 nucleotides long. RefSeq lists it as uncharacterized. The transcript is spliced from 3 exons. NCBI's taxonomy places the organism in Eukaryota, Metazoa, Arthropoda, Arachnida, Scorpiones, Buthidae. The record is from RefSeq and is a predicted model, not a curated record.
UCUUCUUUUCUCGUAUAUUCUCUUUUUACUGUCACAUUAUUUACGCUUUACGGAACAAAUCUUUUAUCAAAUUGUAGUAGAGUCUCAAUCAUCUCGUCCCUUGUCCAUCAAUUCCAAUGUAUGGUUCAACUUAGUUUACAGUGAUAUAAUAGAUUUCCAAGGAUAUAUCAUAUGUGUCACCUAACCGAUAAAAUUUUCUUGCGUUCUAGAACAUAGUACUAUUGGAAAACUUCAAUUAUUGAGAAAAAAAUUAUGUUGGCGUAUUCCCUACAUUCGUUGACGCUGUUGCUCAUCUGUUUAAUGACGUCUACGCUGAUCCUCAAUUCCGAAAGGACUGUAAAUGGAAUGCAUCGAGUAUCGUAUUCAAAAAUUGGAAAUGCAGAAAACCCUUCGUUGAAUUUAUAUAGGAGAUGGAACUUCAUCCACCAAGAUAUCAAAACUAAAAGAGCAUUGUCGUUUCUGGCAUAUUGGAAAUCUCCCUCCGAAAAUACUUUUGUACAACCAGUUGCAAGUGAUGUUAACUCAAGACCGGUUGGCUUACCUUUUCGAUGGGGAUAAAUACUUCUAUUUUUUCAUGGCUGAACUUUUAGUUGACUGACGGAUGUGAUUUUAUCCCUACAUUUCUUACAUACGGUAGUUAAUUCGAACAUUUAAUUAUAUGUAUAGUUUUUAUUUAUAUGAGAAAACGAUGAACAAAUUAUAUGAACAGAUCAUUAUAUAGGCUAUAUAUUGAUAUAUAUAUAUAACUUAUAUACAUACAACGAUAGU